AGUGCUAAGGUAGCAUAAUAAUUAGUUUCUUAAUUAGUAACAGGGAUGAAAGGUAUCACUAGGGCACAUGAUAAUAAGUUUAAGGUGAAAUUUUAUUGUUGGUGAAAAUACCGACAUACUACAUCAAGACAAGAAGACCCUAUGAAGCUUUAUGACAAUUUAUUUUAUAUUACUGCAGGAAUAGUCAUUUUUUUGGGGUAAAACUAAAUAAUUUUAUUUAAAGCGUUUAAUUAAAGGAUCCUUUUUGAAGUGUGAAUUAGCUCCUCUAGGGAUAACAGCACCAUUCUAGUGAGAGAUCCUAUCGAUACUA
Molecule: ribosomal RNA, 310 nt
Filed under: Eucalanus spinifer
Lineage: Eukaryota; Metazoa; Arthropoda; Copepoda; Calanoida; Eucalanidae
Description: partial 16S ribosomal RNA
Rfam family: Bacterial large subunit ribosomal RNA
Source: RNAcentral